CUCUCGGAUCAUGGAGUCCCCAUCUGUGGGUUCACCAUGGCCCCUCCCCAGGGUCCUGAACGGGGUGACCCCAACCCCCAUGGAGGAUUUUGGGGGGUUUGAUUCCAAUUCUUAAAUCUGGGGAAAAUUCAAGGUAAAUUCUUAUCCCGAGGGGAAUUGUUCACUUGGGGGGGGGUCCCUUGGGUGGGAUUUGCACCCCCAAUUGGGGUGACCCCCACUUUUGGGUGAAUUUGGGGGUUUUGAGGUAAAUUUGGGGGGGUUUUGGGGUGGGCUUGGGCCCCCCAGGGGUGAUGACCUCAAUGAAUCUCGUUCGGCUGAAGCUGCUGCUGACAACCCAAGGACUGACCCAGGGGGGCUUCCCCCCCUUUUUGGGGUCCUCAAAUUCCUCAGAGACCCCCCUGACCCUCCCCUUGUGUCCCCUCAUUCCAGGUGAUUCCAUCCAGGAACACACCUUAAGGCCAGGUGCUGCAGGUGAACAGAGGCUCAGGUGAGUCUGGGGGUUUUGGGGAGGGGAGUUUAAAGGUUUAGAAAAGGAAUUUGCAGUUUAGGGAGAGGGUUUGUAAAGUUUGGGGAUUUGAGUUUUGGGGUGCGGGGAGGGGAUUUUGGGUUUUUUGGAAAGGAGGUUUUGGGUUUUGAGAAAAGAUUUUGGGUUUUGGGAGUUUUAGAGUUUAGGAAAGAGAAUUUUGGGGUUUGGGGGGAUUAUUUUGAGGGUUUUCAGAGGGGAUUUUGGGGUAAAGGUGGGAAAUUU
This 748-nucleotide long non-coding RNA is filed under the name Serinus canaria (Common canary). Its description in RNAcentral is "lncRNA (ENSSCAG00000001515.1)". Lineage: Eukaryota; Metazoa; Chordata; Aves; Passeriformes; Fringillidae. The record is from RNAcentral.